RNAcentral lists this transfer-messenger RNA (397 nucleotides) under human gut metagenome. It matches the Rfam family "transfer-messenger RNA". Rfam says of the family: Bacterial tmRNA, also known as 10Sa RNA or SsrA, is named for its dual tRNA and mRNA-like properties. Its role is to liberate the mRNA from a stalled ribosome. The record is from RNAcentral.
GGGGUCGACUGGAUUUGACAGCGGACUUUGGAGGUGAGUAAGCAUGCAGUGCGCCGGAAGUGGGCACUUUAAUCUCGGCUUCCAAAAGAUUUAUCUGGCGAAAACAAGUACGCUCUCGCUGCCUAACUGAAGCAUAGUAGGUUGGCUUUAUUCCGACACCAGGUGUUGGAACGAGACAUCACCCAAGAACCGUUGCUCCGAGGCAUCUUGACAAGGUGGUGCAGCAAAAUCGGGGAUAGUUAGCGGCAGCCCCGUGCCGUUAAUGAAGUUUUAGGGGAUAAGGCGUCGGUUGGUGGCUCCGGUCUUGCCGACGCACGAAAACUGAAGGCGGAGAGAAGCAUGUGGAAAGCUUGCUUUCGGUCUGUUUGGACGAGGGUUCGAUGCCCUCCGGCUCCAC